Molecule: ribosomal RNA, 32 nt
Filed under: Agaricus sp. zrl2013348
Lineage: Eukaryota; Fungi; Basidiomycota; Agaricomycetes; Agaricales; Agaricaceae
Description: partial 18S ribosomal RNA
Source: RNAcentral
CAUUAUCGAAUUAUGUUUUCUAGAUGGGUUGU